UCAGGCCUAACACAUGCAAGUCGAGCGGAAACGAGUUAUCUGAACCUUCGGGGAACGAUAACGGCGUCGAGCGGCGGACGGGUGAGUAACGCCUAGGAAAUUGCCCUGAUGUGGGGGAUAACCAUUGGAAACGAUGGCUAAUACCGCAUGAUGCCUACGGGCCAAAGAGGGGGACCUUCGGGCCUCUCGCGUCAGGAUAUGCCUAGGUGGGAUUAGCUAGUUGGUGAGGUAAGGGCUCACCAAGGCGACGAUCCCUAGCUGGUCUGAGAGGAUGAUCAGCCACACUGGAACUGAGACACGGUCCAGACUCCUACGGGAGGCAGCAGUGGGGAAUAUUGCACAAUGGGCGCAAGCCUGAUGCAGCCAUGCCGCGUGUGUGAAGAAGGCCUUCGGGUUGUAAAGCACUUUCAGUCGUGAGGAAGGUAGUGUAGUUAAUAGCUGCAUUAUUUGACGUUAGCAACAGAAGAAGCACCGGCUAACUCCGUGCCAGCAGCCGCGGUAAUACGGAGGGUGCGAGCGUUAGUCGGAAUUACUGGGCGUAAAGCGCAUGCAGGUGGUUUGUUAAGUCAGAUGUGAAAGCCCGGGGCUCAACCUCGGAAUAGCAUUUGAGACUGGCAGACUAGAGUACUGUAGAGGGGGGUAGAAUUUCA
This 650-nucleotide ribosomal RNA is filed under the name uncultured bacterium. RNAcentral's name for it is "bacterial SSU rRNA". It matches the Rfam family "Bacterial small subunit ribosomal RNA", at positions 42 to 671 of the family's 1533-position model. The record is from RNAcentral.